UUUUGAAGCGCCAGUCGCGUAGGGCAACCGGGCCAGGCCGAGUCAGAAAGGCUUUGAUGACUCAAGGUUCAUAUUAGGGAAAGGAGAGUGAGGGGAAGAGGGGGCAGCCCUCGGCCCGAUCAUCCAAUUCGCUCCAACAGACAGGCUAUGGGAUAAUUAACACCUUCCUCUUGCAUAAGAUUGGACAUAUGAGGCGUAAACAUCAUAUAUGAGAGUCAAGCGUGGACGACAAAACACAAGCGCACAAUAUUGGAUAAACCCAAACAAUUGAUGGGUCAGGCUGUUAUAUUCACCAUCAAAGGACGAGGGGGCAACCCUUGGCCCGAUCAUCCAAUUCGCUCCAACAGACAGGCUAUGGGAUAAUUAACACCUUCCUCUUGCAUAAGAUUGGACAUAUGAGGCGUAAACAUCAUAUAUGAGAGUCAAGCGUGGACGACAAAACACAAGCGCACAAUAUUGGAUAAACCCAAACAAUUGAUGGGUCAGGCUGUUAUAUUCACCAUCAAGCUUUUGUGUUACUGUGUUUGUGAUACUAUUAGCCAAUUUCCUAGGGCAAAAUUUACAAUGUCUUUUACAUAUUUAUUCCACAACGUGUUUGGGUAUUAUAACUAGCCUUGUUGCUCAUAUCACUAAUGCAGUGCAAUUAGUGAGGAAGUCAAACCUGGACUAAUUAAAUCUGGGAUCUGAUGCAAUUACAUAAUUAAUGGAGUGUUUAAGAAAUCUGCAAUAGAUCUAUGAAAAAUAAUUAAAUUUCUGUGUGCUGUUAUUAAUUAUAGUAUGAUUAAAGGUCUAACAGUCAACUUAAUUUGUUUUUUGAUGCACGAUGCAUUAGAAAAAAUAAUUAGGGUUUAAAUUUGUUAACUUUUUGACAGGUUGAUCAAAUAUUGGGUGCAUGGUCACCACAUCUUGUAAUAAUAUAAUGGAAGGUACAAGUGAAA
Molecule: long non-coding RNA, 938 nt
Filed under: Solanum tuberosum (potato)
Lineage: Eukaryota; Viridiplantae; Streptophyta; Magnoliopsida; Solanales; Solanaceae
Description: long non-coding RNA (STUB_LNC003245)
Source: RNAcentral